Molecule: ribosomal RNA, 1419 nt
Filed under: uncultured bacterium
Lineage: Bacteria
Description: 16S ribosomal RNA
Rfam family: Bacterial small subunit ribosomal RNA
Source: RNAcentral
AGAGUUUGAUCCUGGCUCAGGAUGAACGCUGGCGGCGUGCUUAACACAUGCAAGUCGAGCGGAAAUAUUUUAUAAUGAAGGCUUCGGUGUGGAAUUUAUAAUAUUUUAGCGGCGGACGGGUGAGUAACGUGUGGGUAACCUGCCAUAUACUGGGGAAUAAUCAUUUGAAAAGAUGACUAAUACCGCAUGUCGUCACCGAGGGGCAUCCCUUGGUGAAAAAAGGAGUAAUCCGGUAUAUGAUGGACCCGCAUCUGAUUAGCUAGUUGGUGAGAUAAUAGCUCACCAAGGCGACGAUCAGUAGCCGACCUGAGAGGGUGAUCGGCCACAUUGGGACUGAGACACGGCCCAAACUCCUACGGGAGGCAGCAGUGGGGAAUAUUGCACAAUGGGCGAAAGCCUGAUGCAGCAACGCCGCGUGAAGGAAGAAGGGUUUCGGCUCGUAAACUUCUAUCAAUGGGGAAGAAACAAAUGACGGUACCCAAAUAAAGAAGCCCCGGCUAACUACGUGCCAGCAGCCCGCGGUAAUACGUAGGGGCAAGCGUUAUUCCCGGAAAAUUACUGGGUGUAAAGGAAGCGUAGCGCAUGUAAGCCAUGAUGUGAAAGCCCGAAGCUUAACUUCGAGGAAUUGCAUUUGGAACUAUCAAGCUAUGAGUACAGGAGAGGUAAGUGUGAAUUCCUAGUGUAGCGGUGAAAUGCGUAGAUAUUAGGAAGAACACCAGUGGCGAAGGCGACUUACUGGACUGAAACUGACGCUGAGGCUCGAAAGCGUGGGGAGCGAACAGGAUUAGAUACCCUGGUAGUCCACGCCGUAAACGAUGAGUGCUAGGUGUCGGAGGGGAACCUUCGGUGCCGCAGCUAACGCAAUAAGCACUCCACCUGGGGAGUACGAUCGCAAGAUUGAAACUCAAAGGAAUUGACGGGGCCCGCACAAGCGGUGGAGCAUGUGGUUUAAUUCGAAGCAACGCGAAGAACCUUACCAAGGCUUGACAUCCCAAUGACCGGUGUAGAGAUACACCUUCUCUUCGGAGCAUUGGUGACAGGUGGUGCAUGGUUGUCGUCAGCUCGUGUCGUGAGAUGUUGGGUUAAGUCCCGCAACGAGCGCAACCCCUAUCUUAGUAGCCAUCAUUAAGUUGGGCACUCUGGAGAGACUGCCGUGGAUAACACGGAGGAAGGUGGGGAUGACGUCAAAUCAUCAUGCCCCUUAUGUCUUGGGCUACACACGUGCUACAAUGGUUGGUACAAAGAGACGCAAGACGGUGACGUUAAGCAAAUCUCAAAAAACCAAUCCCAGUUCGGAUUGUAGGCUGCAACUCGCCUACAUGAAGCUGGAAUCGCUAGUAAUCGCAGAUCAGAAUGCUGCGGUGAAUACGUUCCCGGGCCUUGUACACACCGCCCGUCACACCAUGGGAGUUGGAAGCA